Taeniopygia guttata (zebra finch) is the source of this 547-nucleotide non-coding RNA. NCBI's taxonomy places the organism in Eukaryota, Metazoa, Chordata, Aves, Passeriformes, Estrildidae. The record is from RefSeq and is a predicted model, not a curated record.
GCAUGGUCAUGGUCUGGAAAUCCGGGGCGGCAUCAAAAGCCACCAAAUUCCAUCGAGUUCUGCUACCAGCUUUGAGUUAUUUGGAAGAAACAGAGGAAAACAGUUAAAUCCUGUGUACAAGCAAUUCUGGAUUUACACUGGCUGAUUUGCCAUUCCCUAAGGGAGACAGAGCCGGAAUCUGGGUCUGACACCCAAUAUAGAGCAGGAGAUGCUUCGAGCAGCCAGCAUGAAAGGAGGCAAAAAGCCAAGUGGCAGGAUAUCUGCUGAGAAAGCUGAGAAGAUGACAGUCUCGCAGGAGAAGAGGGAAGGCAGCAGGUAUGUGUGAACCAGGAUUGCUGCUGCUCAGCUGGAGGCUGCUGCCUGCCCAAAGCACAUUUAUCCCCCUGCAAGGCACCUCCCUCCUGCUGCUGUCCCCUGGUCAAAGUUUUGGUUACCUGGGCACUGUAGGGUCACACUGCCCUCCAUAUUUUACUGCUCUUACUUCCUUAGAGCCUGAGCUUGUGCUUGCAAUAACACUUUUCAGUCCUUCACUUUAGAGACGUUUUGG